UACGUAGGGGGCAAGCGUUGUCCGGAAUUAUUGGGCGUAAAGAGCGUGUAGGCGGUCCGGUAAGUCAGCUGUGAAAGUCAAGGGCUCAACCCUUGAAUGCCGGUUGAUACUGUCGGGCUAGAGUCCGGAAGAGGAAAGCGGAAUUCCACGUGUAGCGGUGAAAUGCGUAGAGAUGUGGAGGAACACCAGUGGCGAAGGCGGCUUUCUGGUCUGUAACUGACGCUGAGGCGCGAAAGCGUGGGGAGCAAACAGG
This 253-nucleotide ribosomal RNA is filed under the name uncultured bacterium. RNAcentral's name for it is "partial 16S ribosomal RNA". It matches the Rfam family "Bacterial small subunit ribosomal RNA", at positions 524 to 776 of the family's 1533-position model. The record is from RNAcentral.